This 951-nucleotide long non-coding RNA is filed under the name Oryctolagus cuniculus (rabbit). RNAcentral describes it as "lncRNA (ENSOCUG00000038190.1)". The record is from RNAcentral. Lineage: Eukaryota; Metazoa; Chordata; Mammalia; Lagomorpha; Leporidae.
GGCAAGUCCUUGCAGGAAGAGCAGGCGUGGGUCAGGCUGCUUCCUGGUGGCUGGGAGAGAAGCCCUGCCCAGAGCAGCUGGUGGCUGAGCCAAAGCGGUUCCCUAGGGGACAGAUCCAGAUUGUUCCACGAGGGACCUGGGUCAGGAGACAGCCGGAGCAAAUCCAGGGCACCAGAGACUUCCGUGGCAGUAACCCCAGGAUGGCUUCGCCUCCAGAGACAGCCCGAGCUGCCAGGACCUGCAGGCCUCCUGACGCCCACCCCCAGUGCACCCACAGCCCCCUCCGUCCCUCCCUCCUUCAUUUGUAAAGAAACCUCUGCCACUGCCCAUCUUCCUCGUGGUGUUAAGCAGCAUCGUGGCUGGAAGGGGAACCAGACCAGAGCUGUGCCGGGCAGACUCCUGGCGACACACACCUCGGCCGUGCUGCGGGGCUCCAGCAUUUCCUGUGGUCAGACGCCAGGAAGGGCAAGUGACCGUGGCUUUCGGACAUGCGUGGGCUUGGCACUGCUUAUGCUUAUUCUGUCCACUGAAGCUAAACCCUUGGCUGCCUCGGGCGCAGGCACUCUGGGGAAGCAGCCCGAGUGGUGUUGGGAGGUGACCACCGCAGAGAUCAAGGUCAAGCUUGCGUCUGAGGUCAGCCCGGACCCUAGGGUAAGCAGGGAAGCUGGCUUUUCCCAUCCGUGGUGGGGAAACUGUUCAUGCUUGAAGCAGUCAGCGCGAAGCCCAGCUUGCAGCCCCAGGAGCCAACCCUGCUUGGCAUCAGAGCCCGGUGCUGGUCAGCUGGCUGGCAGCCGGCCCCCUGAGGGCUCGCCACAGCUGGGGACCGCGCCGGGCGCCUUGGGAGGCCCGCCAGGUGUGUGGCUCAAAUGCCCUUUGCGUUUGCUCCAGGUCCAAUGUAGUGAGAAAUGGCUCGGGGGACACAUUCGGGCUCCAAGAGGUUUAAGCUCCUGA